RNAcentral lists this microRNA precursor (75 nucleotides) under Myotis brandtii (Brandt's bat). RNAcentral's name for it is "mir-9229 microRNA precursor family". It matches the Rfam family "mir-9229 microRNA precursor family". The record is from Rfam by way of RNAcentral. Lineage: Eukaryota; Metazoa; Chordata; Mammalia; Chiroptera; Vespertilionidae.
GAGACACCCCUAUGGAGCAGGACUUGAUUCGUGGGGCUUUGGUGCUCACUGAGUCUGCCCCUUGAGUGUGUCAUU